GCUGAAGGUCCACAAUAGUGUUCUGAGAUCCCGCUUUCCCACCCAUUUUUUCCUGUUAAUCCUGCCAUCCCACCUUUUUUGUCUGGAAAUCUGCUAUAUGUACAUAAGGUUCAUUUCUACCCUCCAGCUCGCAGUUUUUGGGCUGGUCAAUUUAUGAAGUCACGUAUCCCACUCUGUUCCGCUUGUGAAUCUUGCAUCCCAACCCCACAGAAAUAAUCCCACUCCCGCUUCUGUUUUUGGCUCGAAUCUCAAAUUAUCACCACGAAAAAAUGCCAAAUCCCGCAUCCCGCCCAGCCCAUAUGUGGACCCUCAGAGCUCUGUUGCUAGGAUGAUACUGAUGUGAGAUGGAUCCUAGUUCUAGGUAACAUAGUAAAGCUACAUACUGGGUAUGAAGCAAUUCUGAGUGAUUUUUUAUACUCUACAUAGUGAAAUUGUAUUGGCUUGCUGUAGUGUCAUGACUUCCAUGCCAUUGACGUUGCUCAAUUCACUGGAAUUGUACUGUUCCUUUGCCUAAACCACUAGCUGUGAAACUCAUGAGUAGUUGUCGUGUCUAGAUUAAUUUGAAUAAUAGUUAACAACUAUUCCAUGAGUGCACGUUGGAUAUGAGAUAGUAGAUAGCCAACAAGGCCUGUAGUGCCAAGUUGGCUAUAAUCAUCUCAUAUCCAACAAGCGCAAGCGGGAUUGUUGUUUUACGAAAAACACUCCCAAAAUAUAGAGAACUAAAAUAAAAUAAAGGCAGAAAUACACCAAAAAAUUACGCGUACACUUGCAAUAUUUAUAGAGCAUGGUAUAAUUACUCAUAUAACAUGAUGGCUAAACCAAUGAAAACACUUGAAUUGCAUUAUCCAGUGAUCCAGUUUUUAAUAAUAGUACACAUUCAACUGUAACUUAGAGCGAUUUUCAAUUCAGUGUCGUAAAACCAAAACCAAACCAAUUACUUACCAAUUAGACUACUCAGCCGAUCUCAAACCGAAGUAAAACCAAAACCACAACCAAAGUUAUUGUCUAAUUAAUUUAGCCACUAAACCGACCGCUCUAUUGCCAUUUGUUGUUGAUGUGUUUUUGCUUUUCCAUGAAGUCUUAAAUAUCAAUGUAUAUUCCAGUUAAAAGAGCAUGAGAGCUUUUCGUGUUUAUGAAAAUUUUGUUCAUUUGUUUUAUAUCUGUGUUAUUUCUCAAAGGCAAACACCCGAAGAGGAAACCAUGACUGCCAGUGAAUUGGAAGACACUGAACAUUGUGGCAGAAUCAGCUUGUCAAGACUUGUCAAAGAAUUAUCAGAUAGAGCCAUUCAAAAGGUAAUUUUGUUUGUAUACAUGUAUAAUGCAGGGAGUAUAUAUAUCCAGCUUUUGCAAAAUGUAACAUGAACUAACAAAAUAACACACGUGAUUAGGCAUGGCAUGGCAUGCAUGGCAGCUACAAGUCCUACAUGUAGUAUUUAUCAGUUGGAAUGCUUUCUGUUAAGAAUUGACGCAGGGGAUAACAUGGUUGUUGAAUAUGACAUCAUUAUCUUAGUGUAGAAAUGUUCAAACUCCUGUAUUACGAGUGCUAAACUUAUCUUGAUGUAAGCUUGAAUGUCUUCCUUCAGACUUAGCAUGCUGGAUAAUCUAGUGUUCUUUCACGUGGGGUGUUAAACCACUGUAUUUAGUCUGGACAAGUCAAUGAUGCCAUGAAUCGGCAAAAGCUUGGAAAAUUGACCUGACUAAAUAAAGUAGUUUAAGGCCUCAUAUAAAAGGACAUUAGAUUAUCUCAAGUGAUGUGUUGACAAGGUUGAAUAAUGAGCUUAUUUACCUGGAGAAUGCAUUGAUUUAUGAAUUGCUGGAAAAAUGUUAAUACUUGAGAAAGCUGCUGUUGACAACGGAUCACUUAAAAUUAUUAGUAACACCUCAUUUUUAAUGCUAUUUUCAAUGUAGCAUGCAAUUAGUUCUACUCAAAAGUAAACAACAAAUGAUAGGUCUUUCAGUGAAAUAUUUUCAUUUAUUAUCAGGCUAACAAGAAUCAAAUAACAGCAUUGGACAGCUAAGAUCAUUGGGAGAGUCACAUACAGUUAGAUCAGGGCAAACAGGAAACACAUGAACACCAAAAGAUAUGUGGAGAAAGUGAAAUACAUCAAGCACUGCCGGAAGUCUCAGUGACCAGACGGUUGAGGGAAGAUAAAGGUAAAGGCAAGACAAGACAAAGACAAGACAUGACACUGGAGGCAAUAUCAAGAAGUUAGGACGCUAUAGACAGACAUACAUGAAGUACGCAAGGGACGAAAGUAAGACAGAUUGUGAGAGAUUUUUUUCAAACCAAGGGCGUAUAGGAUAAAAUUUAUUUCGUGGACUAAACGUUAGGAUUGGCGAUGUUUUCCUCAGAGUUAAACAGAAUACGAAGGCAAUCUAUAAGGAUGAACUGAUCCGAAAAGUAAUUUAAAGUUAGGUUUUGUAGGAAAAGUUUCGUCAGCUUUGCUUUUACGAAUUCUAGUCCAAUUUUAAUUCUAUUUUAAUCCUUUGUCUUUGUUCACGAUGCGAGAGCUUGGAGGAUUGUGUGACUGACGCGUACGUGACUCUUGAGCAUCAGUGGUGUUGCGUUACACUAGCGGCCAUUGAGAAUAUGUUAAUAAGGCUUUUUACGAAAAUUUAAAUGCACGGCGUUGCAACGGGAGAUUCGACUGUUAAUUUAGCAAAUAAAGAUUGUGAAGUGCCUUUUCAGUGUUAUUUUGUUGGCUUGCUCAGACAAACAGCAAGGCAGCAGGGUAUCAAACGAAACUUUAUAUUCUUUACUUUCUGAGUUAGCAGUUAAAAUACGGCAACUUUUCAUGAAUUUGAAUAAUUCCCGUGCAAAACUUUAUUACUAUAUCCUCAACGUUCCUUCGUGUAGCGCAACACCACUGUAGUUCAAUAGUCACGUACGUUUCUAUCAUAUGAUUCACCGACUUCUCGCAUCGUGAGCAUCGUAAUUCUUUGAUUUUCCUCAAAGGAAAAAUUUUUAUAGUUAGCCUUCGUGUUUAGAAUCGCAAUUUUUUCCUAGUUUCCUUUCACGGACCAAUUUCAGAAUGGAUUGUCUUGUUUAUUCAAAAUGUCUCAACCAAAAGCAGAUUUAGAAAAAAAAAAUUCGCUGCUAAGUUUUUGUCAAGUUAUUUCGAGCUUAUUUCGUAAAGUUAGCUUUGUACAAAAUCAGUUUCUCUUGUUUAUUAAAUAUUUUCUGAAAAAUUGUCUUGACUGCCUAAAUUUACUCUUAGGGUAACCCUCGUCUAAAUUUUUAAUUUUCCCGCCAAAAAACUUAGAAAAAAUACGGGCGCUUAUAAUACGCAUGCGCCAAC
This 3299-nucleotide long non-coding RNA is filed under the name Orbicella faveolata. RNAcentral describes it as "uncharacterized LOC110059468". The record is from RNAcentral. Lineage: Eukaryota; Metazoa; Cnidaria; Anthozoa; Scleractinia; Merulinidae.